RNAcentral lists this ribosomal RNA (393 nucleotides) under uncultured bacterium. RNAcentral's name for it is "partial 16S ribosomal RNA". It matches the Rfam family "Bacterial small subunit ribosomal RNA", at positions 523 to 918 of the family's 1533-position model. The record is from RNAcentral.
ACACAUAGGGGGCGAGCGUUGUUCGGAAUCAUUGGGCGUAAAGGGCGUGCAGGCGGUCGUGCAAGUCCGGCGUGAAAGACCCCGGCCCAACCGGGGGGACGCGCUGGAAACUGCAGGGCUUGAGUACAGGAGGGGAUGCCGGAAUUCCAGGUGUAGGGGUGAAAUCUGUAGAUAUCUGGAAGAACACCAAUGGCGAAGGCAGGCAUCUGGCCAUGUACUGACGCUGAGACGCGAAGGUGCGGGGAGCAAACAGGUUUAGAUACCCUGGUAGUCCGCACAGUAAACGAUGUGCACCAGGUGGCGGGGGGUAGCCCUCGGUACCGAAGCCAACGCAUUAAGUGCACCGCCUGGGGAGUAUGCUCGCAAGGGUGAAACUCAAAUGAAUUGACUGGG